Molecule: long non-coding RNA, 338 nt
Filed under: Heterocephalus glaber (naked mole-rat)
Lineage: Eukaryota; Metazoa; Chordata; Mammalia; Rodentia; Bathyergidae
Description: lncRNA (ENSHGLG00000041865.1)
Source: RNAcentral
CCUCACAGAGCUACACAAGAGGAAUCUGGAUGGGAUCCUGACCCUGGUCCUUCCAACUUCUACUCUGCCCCAUCCCUGCCCAUCUCCCAGUCCUUGCACUCUCCUGAGGUUGGCAGCUGGGAAGAAAAAGCCUGAUGAUAUAUAGACAAGAGGAUAACUUCCAAAAAACUAUGAUUCCAUUCACCAGUUCAACUCCAUAUGGCUGUACCUGCAAAGCAAAGGGAAGGAAUGUAAAGCAACUGCACAAGUUAAUACUGCCCUGGGGCAGCUUGAAUGGAUAUGACUUGAACCAAGUGGCUUGCCACUCUGCUGCCAUUCUGACCCUUGCUGUGUUCAAG